Molecule: small nuclear RNA, 103 nt
Organism: Sorex fumeus (smoky shrew)
Lineage: Eukaryota; Metazoa; Chordata; Mammalia; Eulipotyphla; Soricidae
Source: RefSeq, a predicted model, not a curated record
UCGCUUCAGCAGCAUAUAUACUAAAAUUGGAAUGAUACAGAGAAGAUUAGCAUGGCCCCUGCACAAGGAUGACACCCCCUGAUAUUAAAAAAAAAUCUUAUUG